UACGGGGGGGGCAAGCGUUGUUCGGAAUUACUGGGCGUAAAGGGCGCGUAGGCGGGUGGAAAAGUCUCUCGUGAAAGACCACGGCUCAACCGUGGAAUUGCGGGAGAUACUGUCUGUCUUGAGUCCGGGAGAGGAGGGUGGAACUCCCAGUGGAGCGGUGGAAUGCGGACAUAUUGGGAGGAACACCGGUGGCGAAGGCGGCUCUCUGGACCGGUACUGACGCUGAGGCGCGAAAGCUAGGGGAGCAAACGGG
RNAcentral lists this ribosomal RNA (253 nucleotides) under uncultured bacterium. Its description in RNAcentral is "partial 16S ribosomal RNA". It matches the Rfam family "Bacterial small subunit ribosomal RNA", at positions 524 to 776 of the family's 1533-position model. The record is from RNAcentral.